Molecule: long non-coding RNA, 1740 nt
Filed under: Betta splendens (Siamese fighting fish)
Lineage: Eukaryota; Metazoa; Chordata; Actinopteri; Anabantiformes; Osphronemidae
Description: lncRNA (ENSBSLG00000015779.1)
Source: RNAcentral
GUCCCUACUUGGUCCAAGGUAGCCGGACCUCUAUUUCGCACUUGUGAUAAGUACAUCUUUUAUGUCUACACUUGUCUCAGGAUGGGAAAGUCGCAGCUGACGAGCGAGGAACUCUGCUACCUGUUUGGUGGCCGCUGCAAUGUUUUUGCUCGCCUAGAUCCAGAAUGGGCACGGAGGUUCACAAUUAGAUGCCGCCUCUCAUACCAGGCAAAAUUAAAAAGGUGUCUCCUGCCACCCUGUAACACAGUUUCUUUAGACAAACUGUACAGGGUGCAGACUGCUGAAGGCGCGCUCUUGACGGUCGACGGCAGAGGCCGCGUGGUGCAAAUUGAGUAUUUUGAAGAACCCUGCGGCCCCAGCAGACUAGCUGUCUCCGGGGGUAACGAGCUCGCGGUUUUCAGAGAGACCCUGUGCGUGUUUUCGGACGUGGCUUUUAGGAUGGAAAGCCACGGAGCAGGAGCCUCGCCUUCGCUGGUCAUCUCUCGGCGCUCCGACUCUGCACACUGCACCUUGGCGGGCUUGUGCUGUUCACACUGGCGUGGGAAGUGUUACACGGUCAAGGAGCGUGACAUUCGAGGCCUGAAAGUGGAAAGUGGUUACAUCUACACGACGGACGGCCUCUCCCUGUAUACACUGGUGGCCUCGUGGAAGACCGGGGUCCGUUUGAUUUUUGACGAAGGCUGCAGACAGGAGAUAAUUCACACGCUGUGCGCUCUCGCCAUGGGUGACCCCAACCUGGGGCUGGAAUUUAAACUGAAAUGCGUUCUGCCCGACGCGGCGAGAGCGUUAGACUUGAGAGACCUGGAGCCUCUGAAGCUGGGCUCUAAGCCGCUGGAUUUCCGCGGCCCCUGGGGGCAAUCAGCUGAACCUAAGGAUCUUCCUUGUGAUGCAGAUGACGACAGCGGACCCCGUGGGUGCUGCAUUCGCGAGGGCCUGGCGUCCCUCCGAGACGUGACCAGACUUCCCUCGGCGUUCGCCAUCCUAGCCGAGAAUGAGAACGUGGUGGUGCUGAGGCAUUUGUUGAGAGAUGCUGUGCUCAUCGUGCCAAAGGAGAGAGCCAGCGUGGUCAUCGAUCCGGUCCAGCUAAAGACCAACGGCAGACGUACGCUCCCGGCUCCCGGCGGGCACAUAACGGAAUGGUUUCCUUGUGGACACUCGCUGUUCAGAGUCGAGAGGGGUCUCCCAGGCGUGCCGCCCGCAGUGAUUCUUUGCAAGCCUCAAAGUGCAGAGGAGCAGCGUGGGAAAACGGCUCAUUGCAGAUCCAAAGAGGUGCCGACGCUACAGGUCCUAAGGAGCGCUGCCUAUGACAGGGUUCUGCCUAAAGGGUUCAGGUCAAAGAUUCACCUCUUCAAUCAAUCUGUGUGUCUGCUACCUGGGACCAUGGAUGUCAUUGGCCCACGUGUGCUAGGAUUUCCAGCGUGUGUCGCAGUUUUGUAUGCGUUUAAUGCCUUUGAUCAGCUCACCGCCGAGAAGUCACGCAAAGUGAGCGGCCCCGUGCAGCUGUCGUUUGUGUCCUCGCUGAGCCUCAGAGAGUCCCAAGCCCUGCUUUUGUCUUACAUGUGUCUGGAAGAGUCCUUUGUGCCCUCGGAGGCAAAUUUCAUCAGUUGGGAAGUGAAAUCUCAUUCUGUUCUCACAGAACUCAGAAAGCUUGUAGCAGCAAACCCGACCGUGCACUCUGGGCUGGGCGGUUUGAAGCUCUCCCUCGGUGAGAAGAUAAUGCGAGCAGACCUGAAAGAUGAA